RNAcentral lists this ribosomal RNA (1722 nucleotides) under Triticum aestivum (bread wheat). RNAcentral's name for it is "partial small subunit ribosomal RNA". The record is from RNAcentral. Lineage: Eukaryota; Viridiplantae; Streptophyta; Magnoliopsida; Poales; Poaceae.
AUGGUACAUACGGGGGCGUGCAUUGCAAACUUACUUGGUCAGGGAGGGUCACGCAAGUACCAUCUUACAUGCAAUUGGCUAAGAUAUUUCAAGAACGACAGGGAUAGGCGGGAUUUGAUUACGUGUGGGUGCGCGGCUGGAGUGGCCGCUGCCUUCCGCGCACCUGUUGGUGGCGUCCUGUUUGCUCUUGAGGAAGCAGCAUCAUGGUGGCGAAGUGCUCUUUUAUGGAGAGCAUUCUUUACAACUGCUGUUGUUGCUGUCGUGUUGAGGACUCUGAUUGAGUUCUGUCGCAGUGGAAAGUGUGGUCUCUUUGGGCAAGGUGGAUUGAUUAUGUUUGAUCUAAGUUCAACAGUUGCAACCUAUAGUAGUCCGGAUCUACUUGCAAUAAUUCUCCUUGGAAUAAUUGGUGGUAUAUUCGGAGGCCUCUUUAACUUUCUCUUGGAUAAAAUUCUUCGUAUUUACAGUAUUAUCAAUGAGAGAGGUGCUCCAUCCAAGAUCCUCCUCACUAUAAUAGUAUCAGUUAUCACAUCAAUGUGCUCCUAUGGCCUCCCUUGGCUUGCUUCGUGCACUCAAUGCCCCGAAGAUGCCGUGGAGCAAUGUCCUACCGUUGGUCGCUCUGGCAACUAUAAGAACUUUCAGUGCCCACCAGGGUAUUACAAUGGUAUGGCAUCACUUUUCUUCAAUACAAAUGAUGAUGCCAUACGCAAUCUUUUCAGCACUGGAACAGCGACUGAGUACCACAUGUCUAGUCUUUUCAUCUUCUUCGUUGCAAUCUAUUGCCUUGGACUUGUGACUUACGGAAUUGCCGUCCCAUCUGGUCUCUUCAUCCCUGUUAUCCUUGCUGGAGCCACAUACGGUCGAAUAGUGGGCACACUCUUGGGAUCCAUAUCAAGUCUUGACCCUGGACUUUUUGCGCUUCUUGGUGCGGCGUCUUUUCUCGGCGGAACAAUGAGAAUGACUGUGUCAGUCUGCGUGAUCCUUCUAGAACUCACCAAUGAUCUGCAAAUGCUCCCUUUGGUCAUGCUUGUUCUUCUAAUAUCGAAGACCAUAGCGGAUAGCUUUAACAAAGGGGUUUAUGAUCAGAUAGUGGUAAUGAAAGGUUUGCCGUACAUGGAGGCUCAUGCUGAACCGUACAUGAGACAUUUGGUUGCUGGUGAUGUUGUGACUGGCCCACUAAUCACCUUUUCAGGUGUUGAGAAGGUAGGCGACAUUGUUACUGCGUUGAGGAUCACGGGCCACAAUGGAUUUCCAGUGGUUGACGAGCCACCUCUAACAGAAGUGCCUGAGUUGGUUGGGCUUGUGAUCAGGUCACAUCUAUUGGUUUUGCUGAAAGGCAAGAUGUUCAUGAAGGAGCCAGUGAAAAUGAGCGGUAGCUUUGUUAUGGAAAGAUUUGGUGCCUUUGAUUUUGCUAAGGCAGGGUCAGGGAAGGGUUUAAAAAUUGAGGAUCUGCAUUUCACUGAUGAGGAGAUGCAAAUGUAUGUAGAUCUCCAUGCAAUUGCAAACACCUCGCCAUAUACAGUGGUUGAGACAAUGUCACUAGCAAAAGCUGCACUCCUAUUCCGAGAACUAGGAUUGAGACAUCUCUUGGUUGUUCCAAAGACCCCAUACAGGCCUCCCAUUGUUGGAAUUCUCACAAGGCAUGAUUUUGUGGCGGAACAUAUCCAUGACCUAUUCCCAAGUCUCAAUCCUCACAACUUUCAUUCAGCCUCAAUGGGAGGUUGA